This 28-nucleotide small RNA is filed under the name Bombyx mori (domestic silkworm). Its description in RNAcentral is "ovarian small RNA-36471". The record is from RNAcentral. Lineage: Eukaryota; Metazoa; Arthropoda; Insecta; Lepidoptera; Bombycidae.
UUACCAUGCCCAGCAACUGUCGUGCCUC